Molecule: ribosomal RNA, 593 nt
Filed under: Colletotrichum siamense
Lineage: Eukaryota; Fungi; Ascomycota; Sordariomycetes; Glomerellales; Glomerellaceae
Description: eukaryotic LSU rRNA
Rfam family: 5.8S ribosomal RNA (bases 231-384)
Source: RNAcentral
UAGAGGAAGUAAAAGUCGUAACAAGGUCUCCGUUGGUGAACCAGCGGAGGGAUCAUUACUGAGUUUACGCUCUACAACCCUUUGUGAACAUACCUAUAACUGUUGCUUCGGCGGGUAGGGUCUCCGCGACCCUCCCGGCCUCCCGCCUCCGGGCGGGUCGGCGCCCGCCGGAGGAUAACCAAACUCUGAUUUAACGACGUUUCUUCUGAGUGGUACAAGCAAAUAAUCAAAACUUUUAACAACGGAUCUCUUGGUUCUGGCAUCGAUGAAGAACGCAGCGAAAUGCGAUAAGUAAUGUGAAUUGCAGAAUUCAGUGAAUCAUCGAAUCUUUGAACGCACAUUGCGCCCGCCAGCAUUCUGGCGGGCAUGCCUGUUCGAGCGUCAUUUCAACCCUCAAGCUCUGCUUGGUGUUGGGGCCCUACAGCCGAUGUAGGCCCUCAAAGGUAGUGGCGGACCCUCUCGGAGCCUCCUUUGCGUAGUAACUUUACGUCUCGCACUGGGAUCCGGAGGGACUCUUGCCGUAAAACCCCCAAUUUUCCAAAGGUUGACCUCGGAUCAGGUAGGAAUACCCGCUGAACUUAAGCAUAUCAAUA